This 468-nucleotide ribosomal RNA is filed under the name uncultured bacterium. Its description in RNAcentral is "bacterial SSU rRNA". It matches the Rfam family "Bacterial small subunit ribosomal RNA", at positions 34 to 518 of the family's 1533-position model. The record is from RNAcentral.
CGCUGGCGGCGUGCCUAACACAUGCAAGUCGAGCGAGGAGAGUCCUUCGGGAUGAUCCUAGCGGCGGACGGGUGAGUAACACGUGGGCAACCUGCCUCAUAGAGAGGAAUAGCCUUCCGAAAGGGAGAUUAAUACCUCAUAACAUUGCAGUUUCGCAUGGAACAGCAAUUAAAGGAGCAAUCCACUAUGAGAUGGGCCCGCGGCGCAUUAGCUAGUUGGUGAGGUAACGGCUCACCAAGGCGACGAUGCGUAGCCGACCUGAGAGGGUGAUCGGCCACAUUGGGACUGAGACACGGCCCAGACUCCUACGGGAGGCAGCAGUGGGGAAUAUUGCACAAUGGGGGAAACCCUGAUGCCAGCAACGCCGCGUGAGUGAUGACGGCCUUCGGGUUGUAAAGCUCUGUCUUCAGGGACGAUAAUGACGGUACCUGAGGAGGAAGCCACGGCUAACUACGUGCCAGCCGCCGC